AUUGAACGCUGGCGGCGUGCUUAACACAUGCAAGUCGAGCGGUAACAGGUGUAGCAAUACAUGCUGACGAGCGGCGAACGGGUGAGUAAUGCUUCGGAAUCUGCCCAGUAAAUGGGGAAUAACUAGCCGAAAGGUUAGCUAAUACCGCAUACGACCUACGGGUGAAAGCGGGGGAUCGCAAGACCUCGCGUUAUUGGAUGAGCCGAAGUCGGAUUAGCUUGUUGGNGAGGUAACGGCUCACCAAGGCGACAAUCCGUAGCUGGUCUGAGAGGACGACCAGCCACACUGGGACUGAG
This 296-nucleotide ribosomal RNA is filed under the name uncultured bacterium. RNAcentral describes it as "partial 16S ribosomal RNA". It matches the Rfam family "Bacterial small subunit ribosomal RNA", at positions 30 to 323 of the family's 1533-position model. The record is from RNAcentral.